CACGUAGGAGGCGAGCGUUGUCCGGAAUCAUUGGGCGUAAAGAGCGCGCAGGCGGCUUGGCAAGUCGGGUGUGAAAUCCCGGGGCUCAACCCCGUGACUGCAUCCGAUACUGUCAGGCUAGAGGUAGGUAGGGGAGAUCGGAAUUCCUGGUGUAGCGGUGAAAUGCGCAGAUAUCAGGAGGAACACCAAUGGCGAAGGCAGCUCGCUGGGACGGUACUGACGCUGAGGCGCGAAAGCGUGGGGAGCAAACAGG
Molecule: ribosomal RNA, 253 nt
Filed under: uncultured bacterium
Lineage: Bacteria
Description: partial 16S ribosomal RNA
Rfam family: Bacterial small subunit ribosomal RNA
Source: RNAcentral